This 465-nucleotide ribosomal RNA is filed under the name uncultured Klebsiella sp. RNAcentral describes it as "bacterial SSU rRNA". It matches the Rfam family "Bacterial small subunit ribosomal RNA", at positions 338 to 795 of the family's 1533-position model. Lineage: Bacteria; Pseudomonadati; Pseudomonadota; Gammaproteobacteria; Enterobacterales; Enterobacteriaceae. The record is from RNAcentral.
CCUACGGGGGGCAGCAGUGGGGAAUAUUGCACAAUGGGCGCAAGCCUGAUGCAGCCAUGCCGCGUGUGUGAAGAAGGCUUUCGGGUUGUAAAGCACUUUCAGCGGGGAGGAAGGCGUUAAGGUUAAUAACCUUGUCGAUUGACGUUACCCGCAGAAGAAGCACCGGCUAACUCCGUGCCAGCAGCCGCGGUAAUACGGAGGGUGCAAGCGUUAAUCGGAAUUACUGGGCGUAAAGCGCACGCAGGCGGUCUGUCAAGUCGGAUGUGAAAUCCCCGGGCCCAACCUGGGAACUGCAUUCGAAACUGGCAGGCUAGAGUCUUGUAGAGGGGGGUAGAAUUCCAGGUGUAGCGGUGAAAUGCGUAGAGAUCUGGAGGAAUACCGGUGGCGAAGGCGGCCCCCUGGACAAAGACUGACGCUCAGGUGCGAAAGCGUGGGGAGCAAACAGGAUUAGAUACCCGGGUAGUC